RNAcentral lists this long non-coding RNA (582 nucleotides) under Actinidia chinensis (golden kiwifruit). RNAcentral describes it as "long non-coding RNA (ACHI_LNC001678)". The record is from RNAcentral. Lineage: Eukaryota; Viridiplantae; Streptophyta; Magnoliopsida; Ericales; Actinidiaceae.
GGCGGAUUAAGGGAUAUGCUUUGGGUAUGCUCAAAGCAAACUUUGAUGGUGCUAUUUGUAAAAUUAAUGGGUGCUUUGGGUGUGGAGUUGUGAUCAGAGAUGAAGAGGCCAUUUUGCGGUGGGUCUUUCCAGAAAGAUUAUAUCCAAUGGACCAGCUUUUCUUGCUGACGUUAUGGCAGUCAGAGAGGCCAUCUGGUUUGAUAGAAGACUUGGGCACGUUUAUAUUGUUUUGAGAGGUGACUCCACUGAAUUGAUCCGGGCUUUAUGUACCAACAAGAUCAGGGCACCACAUGAUGUGAUUUUUGAGGUGUAAGGCUUACAAAUAGCUGCUUUGAGAAAGUUGAAUAUGGUAACGUUCGUGGAACGGGAAAUUGGGUAGCACAUCAUUUGGCCACUAAUGCGCCAUUAAUUGAUGAGUCUAAUAUAUGGACGGUCGUGGCAUCCGAUUUUAUAAUGUCCUCCCUUAUUACAGAUUUCCCUUCUUAUUAAUAAAAUUACCUCUUUUCCCAUAAAAAAGAAAUGAUAGGGCUGAUUGAGUUAGAUUAAUCAUGUGAAAUAUCAAGUAAAACGAAUAUUGGGGGC